RNAcentral lists this long non-coding RNA (1622 nucleotides) under Homo sapiens (human). Its description in RNAcentral is "HSALNT0329672". The record is from RNAcentral. Lineage: Eukaryota; Metazoa; Chordata; Mammalia; Primates; Hominidae.
CUGCAUUAUACACAGGAGUGGAGAAGUCAUUUAUAAAUAAUUACACAAUGUUUUGGGUCUUUGGGCUUGUAUAAUAUAUCAAAGCGAUUAGUACACUUAUUGUUCCAUUGUAAAAGCUUUUUUUCUCCUUUCAGUUUCACUUGCCUUGUCUUCUAGCUAAACCUUUUUCUGGAAAUCUUUUGUCUUCUUCAUUCUUUUUGCUUGUUACAGUCCAGGAGCAUUCUUCUUAUUCAAACACUCGCAGCAGGGGCAAAGAAAGCGACUUCGGCCGCAUCUUAAGUUUUACCAUAACUUUCUGGCAUUUUCUUUUCUUCCAGUUUUCCCAGACUACUUAGGGGCAGUGAAGAAUUAUAACAUACAUGAAUUAUUAGUACUCCCCUCGAGUUAAAGGGGGAGGAAAGCGCCUCAUUUUCUAUGCCCCCAAGGGACGGACCGAGCGGGCAGCCUCUAAACAAUGUAUUUAUCACUUUGCAUCUCUUUGGGACGCCGGCCGCGCCCCCACCCUUGCCGCCGCCGUCGCCGCCGCCACUUCGGUUUUGCUCUGGCUGGGGAGACCCGGCGUUUCUGGAUUUCUUUUAUGCAGCCACAAAUAAAGGCUCCUAGGCUGGAAGAAGGGGAUUUCCCCCCAAGUCUUGAGCAAACGACCCUAGCGCCGUGGCUCUUCCUACGGCGGGGGCCUCGGAGAACCCGGCGGGGCGCGCGGGGGGACGCGUGGGCACUGCCGCGUGGGCGCCCUGACCCCGCGCCCGCGUGGAGCGAGAGCCGGGACUCUGGGCCAGCAAGUUCCAGUUCCCCGAUGGGGCCGGCUCGCCCGGAGCCGCGUGAGGGGAUUAGGGCCGCACGAGAGGCGACCGCGCCGCGGCCUCCAGCCACGUGAGCACAGACACGGCUUCAAACGUCCCCAACGCACUAAUCCUUGUUAUCCGGCAGGAUAACCGCGGCCGCGCCAGCACCCGGCCUGCCUCCUCCGUCUGGCUGCGGGCGGGGAGUGCGCCUGGCUCCCGAGCCCCUGACACGGAUUUGGGGCCUGCAAUGACGAUCUACCCCACACCAUCCACAUUCCUGGGACCCUCGGGGCAAGGUCCUACAGUCCUUGGUGACCACCACGCCUGCAAAAAGCGGUGGGAAAGUUGUUACGCUUAGAAAACUACCAACACGCGCAUGCCUGUAAUCCCAGUUACUCGGGAGGCUGAGACAGGAGAAUCGCUUGAACCCGGGAGGCGGAGGUUGCAGUGAGCCGAGAUCGCGCCACUGCACUCUAGCCUGGGAAACAAGAGCGAAACUCCGUCUCAAAACAAAAACAAAAACAAAACCAAAACCAAAACAAAACAAAACAAAACCUGCCGCCGCUCCGGAAGAGCUGGGAUGGAGAAUAAGGAUGAAUUCUGGAGGGAAAUCCGGCAAAACGGGCAUUGGCACUAAAAUAGGACAUUCGUUAAGGAAACAACAAAGAUGGCUGAAGAAUGGAGUAUGGCUGAAAAAAGCCCACUGGAGAGUUUCUGAACUCAAAGGAACAACCAUGCGAUGUGGAGGAGAAAAUGGAUCCAACGUUUUUUCCGGGGAUUAAAAGUGAGUCGGAAAUUGCCAGGACUUGGGAGAAAAAGGCUCUUGUUGAGUUCCCC